Molecule: transfer RNA, 69 nt
Filed under: Marmota monax (woodchuck)
Lineage: Eukaryota; Metazoa; Chordata; Mammalia; Rodentia; Sciuridae
Description: tRNA.SeC
Source: RNAcentral
GGGGAUAUAGCUCAGUUGGUAGAGUGCUUGCCUCACACAAGGCCUUGGGUUCAAUCCCCAGCACCACAA